CCUACGGGAGGCAGCAGUGAGGAAUAUUGGUCAAUGGACGAGAGUCUGAACCAGCCAAGUAGCGUGAAGGAUGACUGCCCUAUGGGUUGUAAACUUCUUUUAUAAAGGAAUAAAACGAGGCACGUGUGCCUUUUUGCAUGUACUUUAUGAAUAAGGAUCGGCUAACUCCGUGCCAGCAGCCGCGGUAAUACGGAGGAUCCGAGCGUUAUCCGGAUUUAUUUGGUUUAAAGGGAGCGUAGAUGGGUUGUUAAGUCAGUUGUGAAAGUUUGCGGCUCAACCGUAAAAUUGCAAUUGAUACUGGCAGUCUUGAGUACAGUUGAGGUAGGCGGAAUUCGUGGUGUAGCGGUGAAAUGCUUAGAUAUCACGAAGAACCCCGAUUGUGAAGGCAGCUUACUAAACUGUGACUGACAUUGAUGCUCGAAAGUGUGGGUAUCAAACAGGAUUAGAGACCCCUGUAGUC
Molecule: ribosomal RNA, 460 nt
Filed under: uncultured bacterium
Lineage: Bacteria
Description: partial 16S ribosomal RNA
Rfam family: Bacterial small subunit ribosomal RNA
Source: RNAcentral